CAGUAGCCGCGGUAAUACGUAGGUGGCAAGCGUUGUCCGGAAUUAUUGGGCGUAAAGGGCUCGCAGGCGGUUUCUUAAGUCUGAUGUGAAAGCCCCCGGCUCAACCGGGGAGGGUCAUUGGAAACUGGGAAACUUGAGUGCAGAAGAGGAGAGUGGAAUUCCACGUGUAGCGGUGUAAUGCGUAGAGAUGUGGAGGAACACCAGUGGCGAAGGCGACUCUCUGGUCUGUAACUGACGCUGAGGCGCGAAAGCGUGGGGAGCAAACAGGAUUAGAUACCCCCGUAGUCCCUGUCUCUUAUAA
Molecule: ribosomal RNA, 301 nt
Filed under: uncultured bacterium
Lineage: Bacteria
Description: partial 16S ribosomal RNA
Rfam family: Bacterial small subunit ribosomal RNA
Source: RNAcentral